GUUAGAUACAUGGAGCUUGCACAGGGAGGAGCAGGUCGUUGUGGAGCAUGGAUCGUGGAUGCCAUGUUAAAACAUUUGAACAUUUGAACUUAUGUUACACAUUGGGUUUUCAUACUUAUGCUUCCGCUAUACUUUGAAACUAUGAUUAUGUUUUGAACACCUAUCGUAUUGAAUGAUUGGUUUACAUUUAUUAUAUUUGAUAUUAAUUUCAUGUUCGAUAUGAUUGGUGGCUUGAUCCUGGUCAGUCACGCUUCCAAGCGGUGAUACUCCGCAGGUGGAUUUUGGGGGUGUGACAGAUUGGUAUCAGAGCCAUUGGUUAUAGAGAACUUGGUUUUAAUAUGGGGAAAACGUUUUUAUUAAAACCAGACUAUAACCAGAACAGUGCUCUCAACGAUCCACAACGACGCUUCGCUCCAUGUGCAAGACUCAACAUCCUAGGUCGUUAGAUACAUGGAGCUUGCACAGGGAGGAGCAGGUCGUUGUGGAGCAUGGAUCGUGGAUGCCAUGUUAAAACAUUUGAACAUUUGAACUUAUGUUACACAUUGGGUUUUCAUACUUAUGCUUCCGCUAUACUUUGAAACUAUGAUUAUGUUUUGAACACCUAUCGUAUUGAAUGAUUGGUUUACAUUUAUUAUAUUUGAU
This 642-nucleotide long non-coding RNA is filed under the name Helianthus annuus (common sunflower). RNAcentral's name for it is "hypothetical non coding rna". The record is from RNAcentral. Lineage: Eukaryota; Viridiplantae; Streptophyta; Magnoliopsida; Asterales; Asteraceae.